GAUGAACGCUGGCGGCGUGCCUAAUACAUGCAAGUCGAGCGAACAGACGAGGAGCUUGCUCCUCUGACGUUAGCGGCGGACGGGUGAGUAACACGUGGAUAACCUACCUAUAAGACUGGGAUAACUUCGGGAAACCGGAGCUAAUACCGGAUAAUAUAUUGAACCGCAUGGUUCAAUAGUGAAAGACGGUUUUGCUGUCACUUAUAGAUGGAUCCGCGCCGCAUUAGCUAGUUGGUAAGGUAACGGCUUAGCAAGGCAACGAUGCGUAGCCGACCGGAGAGGGUGAUAGGCCACACUGGAACGGAGACAGGGUCCAGAGGCCUACGGGAGGCAGCAGUAGGGAAUCGUCCGCAAUGGGCGAAAGCCUGACGGAGCGACGCCGCGUGAGUGAUGAAGGUCUUCGGAUCGUAAAACUCUGUUAUUAGGGAAGAACAAAUGUGUAAGUAACUAUGCACGUCUUGACGGUACCUAAUCAGAAAGCCACGGCUAACUACGUG
RNAcentral lists this ribosomal RNA (497 nucleotides) under uncultured bacterium. RNAcentral describes it as "partial 16S ribosomal RNA". It matches the Rfam family "Bacterial small subunit ribosomal RNA", at positions 28 to 507 of the family's 1533-position model. The record is from RNAcentral.